Long non-coding RNA from Panicum virgatum (switchgrass), 1623 nucleotides. RefSeq lists it as uncharacterized. NCBI's taxonomy places the organism in Eukaryota, Viridiplantae, Streptophyta, Magnoliopsida, Poales, Poaceae. The transcript has 4 exons. The record is from RefSeq and is a predicted model, not a curated record.
AUAAGCCCACCUUGAUGGGUUAUCUACCACCAGAACGGUUGAAGAAGCUCAGCCAGUAGUAUAUGUAGCCCUCCCAGAUCUGGCCCCGCUGCUUCCGCCUUCCUCCGUCCCCAAUUCGGGAAAACCGGGACGAUAUGGAGAGUCUGCGUAACGGGGUUUGGUUCCUACAUCCCUCUCCGAUCCCCUUUCGUGCUCUCUCUCUUCGUGUCGAGUUCUUGCUGCGUCUGCUUGGCCCCCUUUUCAGCGGUGAUCGACGGUGGGAUGGGGCGGGGCGCUGGACAUGGUGGUGUGCUGUGGCUGACAGAAGAGAGUGAGCACGCAGCGGCCAGACUGCAUCUGAAAUUCUGAAUACGCGGGGGUGGAUGGAUGCAGGCCUAGACGCAGCUGCUGUUGCGUGCUCACUUCUCUCUCUGUCAGCUCUCUCUCCUCCUCGGGACUUGUUCCGCCUUGUCCAUCUCCCCCCUCCCACUUCCAUCCAUUGCUGCUCACCGCUGCGUCGUCGUGCAGACGUUGUCGCAUCGGUCGCCGUGGCCGUCGUGGCACUGUUCGUCUUGAGGCGCCUGCCGGCCUUGCCGUGUCCCCACCUGCAAUAAUCCUGCUCGGAUUCCUACGGCGCCGGCCUGCCUGCUCUUUGGAACAAGCAGGGGCGGCCUUCAGCCUUGGGGGAGGAGGACGCGUGAUGGUUUGAUUAACACCUGGCUUUGCUCGCCUCCCCAGGUGUGCUUAACGGAAACCACUGUUUGACUAGUCCUUGCUACCCCUUCUCCCUCCUCUCUCUCUCUCACUUAUCUACUCUUUCCUCUUCCUUUCCGUAAAGAUUUUACAGCAAAAACUGGAUCUUUUGACUCUGUUCUUUUGCUCAUCUCAUGUGGCGCUGUGAGUGUUGGGAAGUAGGUGCCUAGGUAGGAGGCAGCCAUGAAGACGGUGGUCGGAGGCAGAUCUGCGAGGUGCAAGUGGAAAGGGAGGCGGCCGGGCACCUACCACCGCCGCCGGCGGCCGCGGCGACUACCAGAUCUGGAAAUAAUGUUUCUUCCCCGGCCGGUGCCUUCUUGAAGAUUGCGGAUGAAGCAUUUCCUAUAGUCUGGUCAACAACUGGUGUACACCAAUAUAUACACUGAUUAUGAACUACGUUCUUUUGAAGGGUUAAGUGGUGGGGUUAAGUGGAAGGGUCUGUAUGCCUGGAAUCCAGCUGCCUGUGGCGAAAUGCACUUGCUCAAACAGUCAUGUUCCAGGCGCAAGAUGCCAAGACAUAUACGGAGAAACCUUGACAUUUGGAAGAUCCUGUCGCUACACUACAAAUAAAUGUGUUUUUAUUUUUGCUCGCAAGAGACAGAAUCAUAUUUCAUAUGCAGCGUCAUAAUCUUGCAUAUAUAGGAAGCCAUGCAUGAAGAUCAGGAGCUUUCAAUGCAACUCACCUAUUCUUCUAUUAGCAAUGAUGCGAACUGGAAGCUUUUUUCUUUUCUUUUCCUUUUCGUUUCAUUGCUGGCACUGCACCGAGAGAACUUAAAUCAUAUGUUUUUUGUGGCUUGCAAUAUCCUGGAACUGCAAGUCUGCAACCCUGCAAUUUUGUGUUGAAGGAUCAAUGUGCUACAUCAAGGAAUAAAGUUUCAAGUUCAAUUCUUA